GAUGAACGCUGGCGGCGUGCCUAAUACAUGCAAGUCGAGCGGACGGACGAGAAGCUUGCUGCGCGGAUGUUAGCGGAGGACGGGUGAGUAACACGUGGAUAACCUACCUAUAAGACUGGGAUAACUUCGGGAAACCGGAGCUAAUACCGGAGGAUAUUUUGAACCGCAGGGUUCAAAGGUGAGAGACGGCCUUGCUGGCACUUAUAGAUGGAUCCGCGCUGCAUUGGCUAGUUGGUAAGGUAACGGCUUACGAAGGCAACGAUGCAUAGCCGACCGGAGGGGCGGAUAGGCCACACUGGAGCGUGGCCACCGUCCAGACUCCUACGGGAGGCAGCAGUAUGCAAUCGUCCGCAGUGGGCGAAAGCCUGACGGAGCAAGGCCGCGCGUGUGACGGAAGUCUUCCGAUCGUAAUACUCUGUUACUAGUUGAGAACAGAUUUGUAAGUAACUGUGCACAGCUUGACGGUACCUAAUAAGAAAGCCACGGCUAACUACGUG
RNAcentral lists this ribosomal RNA (497 nucleotides) under uncultured bacterium. Its description in RNAcentral is "partial 16S ribosomal RNA". It matches the Rfam family "Bacterial small subunit ribosomal RNA", at positions 28 to 507 of the family's 1533-position model. The record is from RNAcentral.